GUGGGGAAUAUUGGACAAUGGGCGAAAGCCUGAUCCAGCCAUGCCGCGUGUGUGAAGAAGGUCUUCGGAUUGUAAAGCACUUUAAGUUGGGAGGAAGGGCAGUAAGUUAAUACCUUGCUGUUUUGACGUUACCGACAGAAUAAGCACCGGCUAACUUCGUGCCAGCAGCCGCGGUAAUACGAAGGGUGCAAGCGUUAAUCGGAAUUACUGGGCGUAAAGCGUGCGCAGGCGGUUAUAUAAGACAGAUGUGAAAUCCCCGGGCUCAACCUGGGAACUGCCUCCAAAACUACUGAGCUAGAGUACGGUAGAGGGUAGUGGAAUUUCCUGUGUAGCGGUGAAAUGCGUAGAUAUAGGAAGGAACACCAGUGGCGAAGGCGACUACCUGGACUGAUACUGACACUGAGGUGCGAAAGCGUGGGGAGCAAACAGGAUUAGAAACCCCUGUAGUCC
RNAcentral lists this ribosomal RNA (450 nucleotides) under uncultured bacterium. Its description in RNAcentral is "partial 16S ribosomal RNA". It matches the Rfam family "Bacterial small subunit ribosomal RNA", at positions 354 to 796 of the family's 1533-position model. The record is from RNAcentral.